CCCCCCCCCCCCAACUCCGUCAAACUCUUGUAGAGCUUUGUAAAGCCAGAUGUCUUUGAAUUGUAUAUCCAUUGGAUAAUUGGAGUUUUAUUGAUUCUCGUUUUGGCUACAAUUAACUGUACCUGAGAUUAGAGGAUUCAUAAACCCUAACUACACAAAACUGCUUCCUUCAACUAUGCUGUGAACUUUGGAGUGGCUAUAAAUUAGGGGCAUCACAGUUUCACCAUUUGCCGCACCCUCAACUAAAUUGGUUUUCAACAUAACUCCCUGUUCCUCCGCAAAAUAGAUUAAUCUAGAAUAGACAGGCUGUCUUCAUAAGCAUUUAACAGCUUGAUCAAGUACAUGUUGAUCACAUUGCCAAACACUCUAAUUUCUGAUCUUGAAGCUUCAACUUGCAAGAUGGACAUGGCUUUGAUAUAACAUGGAUUCUAAUGUAAUUAACAUAAUUUUAGCAUCUUACUCUUUCUUUACUGUCUAGAGCUGCCAGUUGUCCCCACCACUGUAGAAAAUUUGAAUUGUGACUACCCACCACCAUGAUCCCUCUUAAUGACUGCUCAUGUUUUUCAGGCUUGACAGCAAGCACGAUAAGUUAUCCUUUGGAGGUUGCAAGAAAACGGCUUAUGGUAGGAGCUUUGCAAGGUAAAUGUCCACCCCACAUGGCAGCUGCACUUUCGGAAGUUGUUAAGAACGAAGGUAUUAAGGGCCUAUACAGAGGAUGGGCUGCAAGUUGCUUGAAAGUCAUGCCUAACUCAGGUGUCUCAUGGAUUUUCUAUGAGGCCUGGAAAGAUAUAUUGCUUGCAGAGAGACGUCCUUUAUGAAAAUCUUGCUGAAUGCAAGGAAUUUUGUGUUGAAUGUCAACCCACAGCAAGCAACAAGGAUCUGAAAGCCUGUGCCAGCUGGUGGGAGAAGAGCUCUGGUGGUGUUGGUACCAUAUUAAUGUGGACCAGCACAAUUUCUUUUUUUGAGAUGUAACAAUGUAUAAAUAAGCCACAUGAAGAGUCGAAUUUGAUCUUUAGCUUUUGAUCCCCCGGAAAUCAAUCUGAAAUUGCAUUCCUGUAGACUUUACUGUAAUCCUGAAGAAGAAAAAUUAUAGAAACGAAGUCCAUUUGACUAUGAAAUUGAUUGACAGGCAUGCAACUUGGAGUUUAUUAACUGUCAUUGGUUUUGUAACCAUUGAAUUUACGAAAGGCUUGGUACGGAACAUGUUCAAUAUUGCCCCUUGUAUCUUCAGCAGAUUGGUAGUGGUGGCUAAACUCUAGAUUCGG
This 1265-nucleotide long non-coding RNA is filed under the name Olea europaea (common olive). Its description in RNAcentral is "long non-coding RNA (OEUR_LNC004562)". The record is from RNAcentral. Lineage: Eukaryota; Viridiplantae; Streptophyta; Magnoliopsida; Lamiales; Oleaceae.